GGAACUUUUCUGCUACAACGCAGUGUGGUUACCUUCCAGUGGGGCCAGUUUGCAAGAAUUCAGGGAAGAAAAUAGUAAUCUGUGCACAACAGCCCCCCGCAGUGAGAGAGAAACGUUUCUUCCAAGCGUUAAGACUGUAGGACGGAUGACGCCAAUUAGCUUCAGAGAAACAGCAUCCACUUAGCUGGGAAUCUGCAUAUGAGUCUCAGGUGGCUGAAGGUAAAUAUCUGCAAUUUGAGCAAUACUGCUUUGUUCCAACUGGACAUU
This 267-nucleotide long non-coding RNA is filed under the name Calidris pugnax (ruff). RNAcentral describes it as "lncRNA (ENSCPUG00000018026.1)". The record is from RNAcentral. Lineage: Eukaryota; Metazoa; Chordata; Aves; Charadriiformes; Scolopacidae.